GAUGAAGAACGCAGCGAAAUGCGAUAAUUAAUGUGAAUUGCAGAAUUCCGUGAAUCAUCGAGUCUUUGAACGCACAUUGCGCCUCAUGGCAUUCCAUGAGGCAUGCCCAUCUCAGCGUUAGAAAAUAUUCUCAAAUUUUAGUUUUGUGCUAAAAUUUGGAUCAUGUCAAGGAAGCUAUUACUAUUAUUGUGAUCGCUCUUUGGAAAUUGAUAGGUCUUUGAGUUGCUACUCAUAGAACGUGAUGAAUCUUUCUUCGUUCUAUUGUAAUUCACUCUGGUAGUCCUAAAACUUGUAUGCCUGUGGCAUAUCUUGUAAUUUGACCUGAGAUUGGGUAGGGAUACCCGCUGAACUUAAGCAUAUCAAUAAGCGGAGGA
This 374-nucleotide unclassified non-coding RNA is filed under the name soil metagenome. Its description in RNAcentral is "partial contains internal transcribed spacer 2 and large subunit ribosomal RNA". The stretch from base 1 to 120 matches the Rfam family "5.8S ribosomal RNA", at positions 35 to 154 of the family's 154-position model. The record is from RNAcentral.